AGUGAACGCUGGCGGCAGGCCUAACACAUGCAAGUCGAACGGCAGCACAGUAAUAGCUUGCUCCUACGGUUGGCGAGGGGUGGAUGAGUGAGGGAUACAUUGGACUCUACUUUUUCGUGGGGCAUAACGUCGGGAAACUUACGCUAAUACGGCAUACGACCUACGGGUGAGAUCAGAGGUUCCUCGGGUCUUGGACGAGCUCAUGGGCCGAUGUCGGAUUAGCUAGUUGGCGGGGUACCGGCCCACCAAGGCGGCGAUCCGUAGCUGGUGUGGGGGGAUGAAGAGCCACACUGGGAGUGAAACACGGUCCAGAGUCCGAGGGGAGGCAGCAGUGGGGAAGAUUGGACAAUGGGCGGAAGCCUGCUCCAGCGAUGCCGGGUGGGUGAAGAAGGCCUUCGGGUUGUAAAACCCUUUUGUUGGGAAAGAAAAGCAGCAGGUGAAUACCCCGCUGUUGUGACGGUACCCAAAGAAGAAGCACCGGCUAACUUCGUG
RNAcentral lists this ribosomal RNA (492 nucleotides) under uncultured bacterium. RNAcentral's name for it is "partial 16S ribosomal RNA". It matches the Rfam family "Bacterial small subunit ribosomal RNA", at positions 30 to 507 of the family's 1533-position model. The record is from RNAcentral.